GACGAACGCUGGCGGCGUGCUUAACACAUGCAAGUCGAACGGAAAGGCCCUGCUUUUUUGGUGUGCUCGAGUGGCGAACGGGUGAGUAACACGUGAGUAACCUGCCCUUGACUUUGGGAUAACUUCAGGAAACUGGGGCUAAUACCGGAUAGGAUCUCCUGCUGCAUGGUGGGGGUUGGAAAGUUUCGGCGUUUGGGGAUGGACUCGCGGCUUAUCAGCUUGUUGGUGGGGUAGUGGCUUACCAAGGCUGUGACUGGUAGCCGGCCUGAGAGGGUGACCGGCCACAUUGGGACUGAGAUACGGCCCAGACUCCUACGGGAGGCAGCAGUGGCGAAUAUUGCACAAUGGGCGGAAGCCUGAUGCAGCAACGCCGCGUGCGGGAUGACGGCCUUCGGGUUGUAAACCGCUUCCGCCUGUGACGAAGCGUGAGUGACGGUAAUGGGUAAAGAAGCACCGGCUAACUACGUG
Molecule: ribosomal RNA, 468 nt
Filed under: uncultured bacterium
Lineage: Bacteria
Description: partial 16S ribosomal RNA
Rfam family: Bacterial small subunit ribosomal RNA
Source: RNAcentral